AUUGAACGCUGGCGGCAUGCUUUACACAUGCAAGUCGAACGGUAACAGGCCGCAAGGUGCUGACGAGUGGCUAACGGGUGAGUAAUUCAUCGGAACGUGCCCAGUCGUUGGGGAUAACUACUCGAAAGAGUAGCUAAUACCGCAUACGAUCUAUGGAUGAACUCGGGGGACCGUAAUGCCUCGCGCGAUUGGAGCGGGCGAUGUCAGAUUAGGUAGUUGGUGGGGGAAAGGCUCACCCAGCCAACGAUCUGUACCUGGUGUGAGAGGACGACCAUCCACACUGGGACGGAGACACGGACCAGACUCCUGCGGGAGGCAGCAGUGGGGAAUGUUGGACAAUGGGCGCAAGCCUGAUCCAGCAAUGCCGCGUGCAGGAAGAAGGCGUUCGGGUUGUAAACUGCUUUUGUACGGAGCGAAACGGCUCUGGUUAAUACCCGGCGCUAAUGACGGUACCGUAAGAAUAAGCACCGGCUAACUACGUG
Molecule: ribosomal RNA, 482 nt
Filed under: uncultured bacterium
Lineage: Bacteria
Description: partial 16S ribosomal RNA
Rfam family: Bacterial small subunit ribosomal RNA
Source: RNAcentral